GCAUCUUAUUGCCCCUUUUUUCUCUUACCCGGGAAGAAAUUAUUCUUCUGGCGCAUGCCAUCCUCUCUGUGAAUAAUUUUCUUUCUUUUCUUUCAUCUAUUUAUUUAAAAUAGUGAUUGGGGUCUCACUAUAUUGCCCAGGCUGGUCUCGAACUUCUGGGCUCAAGCCAUCCUCCCACCUUGACCUCACAAAGUGCUAGGAUUACAGACGUGAGCCACCGUGCUCACCCUCUGAAUAAAUUCACUGGGAGUUACUAUCCUAGUGAUAAUGAUUGGAGUUUUCAAGGUAGAUUAGAUAUACAAGAGAAGAGGAUGGAAGAAGAGAAGAGGAUAGAAGAGGAGUAAAGAAUGGGAUAGUACUGAGAAACUAGUUCAGAAAAAAAUGGUAAACUCUCACAGAAAUACAAGUGGGUGAGUUUGCAAUAGCAACAGGGGUAACAAGUUGAGGAAAAUAACUGAGAAAAAACCUUAGUGAUUAUCUUAGGAGACUUUUGAGUUGAUGUUUUUAGGGAAUAAAGUAGGGCUGAAACAGUAUUUCAAGGGCUUUUGGAAAUAUGUGGAGGUAGUGGCACCUUUUAACCUUGACAGUAAAAGGAACUAGAUAGAAUAUAGGCAGUGGAAAAGAUAAGUGAAUGGAUGAGGAAGUCUGUUGGAAGAAGCCACUGGAAGCAACUUGAACUGUACUUGGAAGAGAUCAUUAAAGGAUUAUGGGCCAAGAAGAAAUAUGUGGGAAUAAAACUAAUUGACAAGUACAGUUAUCUUUGAAAAGGGUUUAGGAUACUUAGGGUUUAUUUUCCUCUGAUGUAGAAGGGAAAGAAUGUGAAUUCAAGUGAAGAGAGCAACUAUUACAAAGAAACAGCUGAGCAUGGAAGUUAACUGCCGGGCUAUGGAAUAGACAGAUUUCACCUUACACCUUCUUCAUCUUACGUCCUUGAGCAAGUUUCUUCACUUCCCAGUCUCAGUUUCUUCUUCUAUAAAAUAGACAUAACAAUGCCCCCCUUUUUUUUGUGAGGAGUAAAUGAGAAAAUUUUAUGAAAUACCUAAAACUGGCAUAUAAUAAGUGCCAAUAAAUGGUAGCUAUUGUUACCAACCUGCCAGCACAACUUAUGUUUGUCCCAUUUCUUGAGAGUUUAUAAAGACUUUCUUAAGUGUUACUUUAAGAUGUCUGCAAGCAUUCUGCAGGACUACAGAAAAUAUAAAAAUGAGUAAGAAAAUGUCAUUGUGUCCUCAAGGAUCUCAUAAAUCAAAAGGUAAAAAAAUUUUUACAAGGAUAAAAAUUAUGAUACAAAACUUAAGAUCACUUUAGCCCUGUUGUGAGUCAGGGGUAGAAUGAAGAUUGGAAAACUAAUAUAAAGGCUGCUGCUC
RNAcentral lists this long non-coding RNA (1364 nucleotides) under Homo sapiens (human). RNAcentral's name for it is "non-protein coding lnc-CCDC17-1:1". Lineage: Eukaryota; Metazoa; Chordata; Mammalia; Primates; Hominidae. The record is from RNAcentral.